GUCUCUUGAUCCCAAGAUACAAUCUUUAUCUCUCAAUCGACCAUUUCAAAUUUCUAGAUUCCGCUCUUACAUGGCCAAGUACGGAGAAGGCGAUAAGCGCUGGAUCGUAGAGGAAAGACCAGAUGGUGCCAAUGUCCAUAAUUGGCAUUGGGCAGAGACCAAUUGUUUGGAAUGGUCGCGGAAUCUCCUCUCUAAGCUUCUUUCUAAUCUCGUUAUUCUUGACGGCGAAGGAAACCUUUUCAUCAAGAUCAAGAAGCUCGAGAAGGUCGACGGUGAGGCCUACGUUAAUGUUCGCAAGGGUAAAAUCAUUCCUGGAUAUGAACUUAAUGUUUCCCUUUCGUGGGAAGGUGAAGCUAAGGAUUCUGAUGGGAAAUCUUUGCUUAAAGUUGAUGGAUCUGUGGAGAUCCCGUAUAUUUCGGACGAGAAUGC
RNAcentral lists this unclassified non-coding RNA (429 nucleotides) under Hevea brasiliensis (rubber tree). The record is from RNAcentral. Lineage: Eukaryota; Viridiplantae; Streptophyta; Magnoliopsida; Malpighiales; Euphorbiaceae.